GAUGAACGCUGGCGGCGUGCCUAAUACAUGCAAGUCGAGCGAAUGGAUUGAGAGCUUGCUCUUAUGAAGUUAGCGGCGGACGGGUGAGUAACACGUGGGUAACCUGCCCAUAAGACUGGGAUAACUCCGGGAAACCGGGGCUAAUACCGGAUAACAUUUUGGACCGCAUGGUUCGAAAUUGAAAGGCGGCUUCGGCUGUCACUUAUGGAUGGACCCGGGUCGCAUUAGCUAGUUGGUGAGGUAACGGCUCACCAAGGCAACGAUGCUUAGCCGACCGGAGAGGGUGAUCGGCGACACUGGGACUGAGACACGGCCCAGACUCCUACGGGAGGCAGCAGUAGGGAAUCUUCCGCAAUGGACGAAAGUCUGACGGAGCAACGCCGCGUGAGUGAUGAAGGCUUUCGGGUCGUAAAACUCUGUUGUUAGGGAAGAACAAGUGCUAGUUGAAUAAGCUGGCACCUUGACGGUACCUAACCAGAAAGCCACGGCUAACUACGUGCCAGCAGCCGCCGUAA
This 515-nucleotide ribosomal RNA is filed under the name uncultured bacterium. RNAcentral's name for it is "partial 16S ribosomal RNA". It matches the Rfam family "Bacterial small subunit ribosomal RNA", at positions 28 to 523 of the family's 1533-position model. The record is from RNAcentral.